AUGAGAUUCAUUGAAACUUGAAGAUUACAAUGCAUAAAUAGUGAUUAUCUAUACUAAUAUCUGUUACAAUAUGACAUAUAUUACUUUGAAUAAGUAGCAUGAAGAGACAAAUGAAAAGAUAGUUUAAAGUCGAAAAUGUUGCAGAGCAGAAGUCCCAUCAAGUCCCUUUGCAGUAAAAUAGGCAGCAUAUUCCUGAAUUGUUGUUUCUCUGUAUUUUGACGGAUUUUCUUCUGAUAACAACUCCUUAAUA
This 250-nucleotide unclassified non-coding RNA is filed under the name Hevea brasiliensis (rubber tree). The record is from RNAcentral. Lineage: Eukaryota; Viridiplantae; Streptophyta; Magnoliopsida; Malpighiales; Euphorbiaceae.